This 393-nucleotide ribosomal RNA is filed under the name uncultured bacterium. Its description in RNAcentral is "partial 16S ribosomal RNA". It matches the Rfam family "Bacterial small subunit ribosomal RNA", at positions 523 to 918 of the family's 1533-position model. The record is from RNAcentral.
AUACGGAGGAUGCGAGCGUUAUCCGGAUUUAUUGGGUUUAAAGGGUGCGUAGGCUGUGCGUUAAGUCAGGGGUGAAAUGCCGUCGCUCAACGACGGAGCUGCCCUUGAUACUGGCGUGCUGGAGUGCGGAAGCCGGUGGUGGAAUGGGUGGUGUAGCGGUGAAAUGCUUAGAUAUCACUCAGAACACCGAUUGCGAAGGCAUCUGACGAAUCCGUCACGGACGCUGAGGCACGAAAGCGUGGGGAUAGAACAGGAUUAGAUACCCUGGUAUUCCACGCCGUAAACGAUGAUGACUAACCGUCGGCGAUAGACAGCCGGUAGCCAAGCGAAAGCGAUAAGUCAUCCACCUGGGGAGUACGUCGGCAACGAUGAAACUCAAAGGAAUUGACGGGG